Molecule: unclassified non-coding RNA, 377 nt
Filed under: Hevea brasiliensis (rubber tree)
Lineage: Eukaryota; Viridiplantae; Streptophyta; Magnoliopsida; Malpighiales; Euphorbiaceae
Source: RNAcentral
CAAAAAUGGAAAUCGGACAGAGUCAGUGAAGUUUCAACUCUUCUGGAAACAAAUCUGCAUGUGUUCACUUACAGGGAACUUGAGGUUGCAACCAAUAACUUCAAAGAACAAGUCGGCAGAGGUUCUUCUGCAAUCGUCUNAAGGCAUCCUAAAAUUUGCUCCAAAUAAUGCAGUCGCGGUGAAGAAGUUGGAUAAGUUGUCCCAAGAGGCUGACAAGGAAUUCAGAAAUGAAUUGAAAGCAAUUGGGAAGACACGCCACAAGAAUCUUGUCCGGCUGCUGGGAUUCUGUGAAGAGGGAGCUCAUCGCCUUCUGGUUUACGAGUUUAUGACUAAUGGUACAUUAGCAAAUUUUCUUCUUGGGAUUCCAAAGCCUGGCU